GAUGAACGCUGGCGGCGUGCCUAAUACAUGCAAGUCGAGCGAACAGACGAGGAGCUUGCUCCUCUGACGUUAGCGGCGGACGGGUGAGUAACACGUGGAUAACCUACCUAUAAGACUGGGAUAACUUCGGGAAACCGGAGCUAAUACCGGAUAAUAUAUUGAACCGCAUGGUUCAAUAGUGAAAGACGGUUUUGCUGUCACUUAUAGAUGGAUCCGCGCCGCAUUAGCUAGUUGGUAAGGUAACGGCUUACCAAGGCAACGAUGCGUAGCCGACCUGAGAGGGUGAUCGGCCACACUGGAACUGAGACACGGUCCAGACUCCUACGGGAGGCAGCAGUAGGGAAUCUGCCGCAAUGGGCGAAAGCCUGACGGAGCAACGCCGCGUGAGCGAUGAAGGUCUUCGGAUCGUAAAACUCUGUUAUUAGGGAAGAACAAAUGUGUAAGUAACUAUGCACGUCUUGACGGUACCUAAUCAGAAAGCCACGGCUAACUACGUG
This 497-nucleotide ribosomal RNA is filed under the name uncultured bacterium. RNAcentral describes it as "partial 16S ribosomal RNA". It matches the Rfam family "Bacterial small subunit ribosomal RNA", at positions 28 to 507 of the family's 1533-position model. The record is from RNAcentral.